AGCCUUUAGCUCAACAAGUAUUAAAGGUCCCACCUGCCCAGUGACUAUUUUAAACGGCCGCGGUAUCCUAACCGUGCAAAGGUAGCAUAAUCACUUGUCCCCUAAAUAGGGACUAGUAUGAAUGGUCAAAUGAGGACUAAACUGUCUCUUACAUUUAACCAAUAAAACUGAUCUCUCAGUUAAAAAGCUGAGAUAUAAACAUAAGACGAGAAGACCCUGUGGAGCUUCAAACCAAGCCCAACCCUAAUGGAGUUCGGUUUUUAGUUGGGGCGACUUCGGAGUACAAAAAAACCUCCGACACAACCAUAUCAAGACCAACACGUCAACAUGUGUUCUUACUGACCCGGUGUUUAACAAAAUAUCCGAUCAAUGAACCAAGUUACCCCAGGGAUAACAGCGCUAUCCCCUUCUAGAGUCCUUAUCGACAAGGGGGUUUACGACCUCGAUGUUGGAUCAGGACACCCAAAUAGUGCAGCCGCUAUUGAAGGUUCGUUUGUUCAACGAUUAAUAGUCCUACGUGAUCUGA
Molecule: ribosomal RNA, 526 nt
Filed under: Pedioplanis haackei
Lineage: Eukaryota; Metazoa; Chordata; Lepidosauria; Squamata; Lacertidae
Description: partial large subunit ribosomal RNA
Rfam family: Bacterial large subunit ribosomal RNA
Source: RNAcentral